GUCCAUGUAUCACCAGCCAUUAGCAAACAAAUGAUGCACAUGGAGAAAGCAACCACCAUAAUAAUAGGCAAAGCUAAGAACUUCCAAUCUUUCUUGACAUGUAGAGGACUAGCAGAUUCUACUUCAUCCACUGAAUAAUUUCCAAGGAAGAGAUCAAUAGCAUCUUGUCUAAAUCCAUCAGAAAAGUUAUUUUUGUAAUAACGUAUUAAUGAGUUCCAGCCAUCCAUUAUUAAGCCCCACUGAGUCCUCUUCCCAGUUCUUGUGUAAUCUGUCUUUAAGGCACCAGUUCCAGCAUACUGUUUGGCACAAGCAUUAGCAUUAUCAGCCCAUGCAUUUUUGUAGAUUUUCUCAAAGUCUGCUUGCUCCUCAAUUCUCU
This 376-nucleotide long non-coding RNA is filed under the name Gallus gallus (chicken). Lineage: Eukaryota; Metazoa; Chordata; Aves; Galliformes; Phasianidae. The record is from RNAcentral.